RNAcentral lists this ribosomal RNA (263 nucleotides) under uncultured bacterium. RNAcentral describes it as "partial 16S ribosomal RNA". It matches the Rfam family "Bacterial small subunit ribosomal RNA", at positions 90 to 354 of the family's 1533-position model. The record is from RNAcentral.
UCUUAGUGGCGGACGGGUGAGUAACGCGUGGGUAACCUGCCUUGCACUGGGGGAUAACACUUAGAAAUAGGUGCUAAUACCGCAUAACAGUAGGAGACGCAUGUCUUUUACUUGAAAAUUCCGGUGGUGUAAGAUGGACCCGCGUCUGAUUAGCUUGUUGGCGGGGUAACGGCCCACCAAGGCAACGAUCAGUAGCCGGCCUGAGAGGGUGAACGGCCACAUUGGGACUGAGACACGGCCCAAACUCCUACGGGAGGCAGCAG